RNAcentral lists this ribosomal RNA (446 nucleotides) under uncultured bacterium. RNAcentral's name for it is "bacterial SSU rRNA". It matches the Rfam family "Bacterial small subunit ribosomal RNA", at positions 331 to 792 of the family's 1533-position model. The record is from RNAcentral.
CCAGACUCCUACGGGAGGCAGCAGUGGGGAAUAUUGGGCAAUGGGCGCAAGCCUGACCCAGCAACGCCGCGUGAAGGAAGAAGGCUUUCGGGUUGUAAACUUCUUUUGACGGGGAAGAGCAGAAGACGGUACCUGUCGAAUAAGCCACGGCUAACUACGUGCCAGCAGCCGCGGUAAUACGUAGGUGGCAAGCGUUGUCCGGAUUUACUGGGUGUAAAGGGAGCGUAGACGGCCAUGCAAGCCUGGAGUGAAAGCCCGGGGCCCAACCCCGGGACUGCUCUGGGAACUGUGCGGCUGGAGUGCGGGAGGGGCAGGCGGAAUUCCUGGUGUAGCGGUGAAAUGCGUAGAUAUCAGGAGGAGCACCGGCGGCGAAGGCGGCCUGCUGGACCGCGACUGACGUUGAGGCUCGAAAGCGUGGGGAGCAAACAGGAUUAGAUACCCCAGUA